This 565-nucleotide ribosomal RNA is filed under the name uncultured bacterium. RNAcentral describes it as "bacterial SSU rRNA". It matches the Rfam family "Bacterial small subunit ribosomal RNA", at positions 338 to 916 of the family's 1533-position model. The record is from RNAcentral.
CCUACGGGAGGCAGCAGUGGGGAAUCUUGCGCAAUGGGCGAAAGCCUGACGCAGCAACGCCGCGUGCGGGAAGAAGGCUUUCGGGCUGUAAACCGCUUUCAGCAGGAACGAAAAUGACGGUACCUGCAGAAGAAGGAGCGGCCAACUAUGUGCCAGCAGCCGCGGUGAUACAUAGGCUUCAAGCGUUGUCCGGAUUUAUUGGGCGUAAAGAGUUCGUAGGCGGUCGAGUAAGUCGGGUGUGAAAAUUCUGGGCUCAACCCAGAGACGCCACCCGAUACUGCUUAACUUGAGUUCGAUAGGGGAGUGGGGAAUUCCUAGUGUAGCGGUGAAAUGCGCAGAUAUUAGGAGGAACACCGGUGGCGAAGGCGCCACUCUGGAUCGAUACUGACGCUGAGGAACGAAAGCAUGGGUAGCAAACAGGAUUAGAUACCCUGGUAGUCCAUGCCGUAAACGGUGGGCACUAGGUGUGGGAUUCUAUUAACGAAUUCCGCGCCGUCGCUAACGCAUUAAGUGCCCCGCCUGGGGAGUACGGUCGCGAAGACUAAAACUCAAAUGAAAUUGACGG